UGUAUAAUGGGUCAGCGACUUAUAUUCUGUAGCAAGGUUAACCGAAUAGGGGAGCCGAAGGGAAACCGAGUCUUAACUGGGCGUUAAGUUGCAGGGUAUAGACCCGAAACCCGGUGAUCUAGCCAUGGGCAGGUUGAAGGUUGGGUAACACUAACUGGAGGACCGAACCGACUAAUGUUGAAAAAUUAGCGGAUGACUUGUGGCUGGGGGUGAAAGGCCAAUCAAACCGGGAGAUAGCUGGUUCUCCCCGAAAGCUAUUUAGGUAGCGCCUCGUGAAUUCAUCUCCGGGGGUAGAGCACUGUUUCGGCAAGGGGGUCAUCCCGACUUACCAACCCGAUGCAAACUGCGAAUACCGGAGAAUGUUAUCACGGGAGACACACGGCGGGUGCUAACGUCCGUCGUGAAGAGGGAAACAACCCAGACCGCCAGCUAAGGUCCCAAAGUCAUGGUUAAGUGGGAAACGAUGUGGGAAGGCCCAGACAGCCAGGAUGUUGGCUUAGAAGCAGCCAUCAUUUAAAGAAAGCGUAAUAGCUCACUGGUCGAGUCGGCCUGCGCGGAAGAUGUAACGGGGCUAAACCAUGCACCGAAGCUGCGGCAGCGACGCUUAUGCGUUGUUGGGUAGGGGAGCGUUCUGUAAGCCUGUGAAGGUGUACUGUGAGGUAUGCUGGAGGUAUCAGAAGUGCGAAUGCUGACAUAAGUAACGAUAAAGCGGGUGAAAAGCCCGCUCGCCGGAAGACCAAGGGUUCCUGUCCAACGUUAAUCGGGGCAGGGUGAGUCGACCCCUAAGGCGAGGCCGAAAGGCGUAGUCGAUGGGAAACAGGUUAAUAUUCCUGUACUUGGUGUUACUGCGAAGGGGGGACGGAGAAGGCUAUGUUGGCCGGGCGACGGUUGUCCCGGUUUAAGCGUGUAGGCUGGUUUUCCAGGCAAAUCCGGAAAAUCAAGGCUGAGGCGUGAUGACGAGGCACUACGGUGCUGAAGCAACAAAUGCCCUGCUUCCAGGAAAAGCCUCUAAGCAUCAGGUAACAUCAAAUCGUACCCCAAACCGACACAGGUGGUCAGGUAGAGAAUACCAAGGCGCUUGAGAGAACUCGGGUGAAGGAACUAGGCAAAAUGGUGCCGUAACUUCGGGAGAAGGCACGCUGAUAUGUAGGUGAAGCGACUUGCUCGUGGAGCUGAAAUCAGUCGAAGAUACCAGCUGGCUGCAACUGUUUAUUAAAAACACAGCACUGUGCAAACACGAAAGUGGACGUAUACGGUGUGACGCCUGCCCGGUGCCGGAAGGUUAAUUGAUGGGGUUAGCGGUAACGCGAAGCUCUUGAUCGAAGCCCCGGUAAACGGCGGCCGUAACUAUAACGGUCCUAAGGUAGCGAAAUUCCUUGUCGGGUAAGUUCCGACCUGCACGAAUGGCGUAAUGAUGGCCAGGCUGUCUCCACCCGAGACUCAGUGAAAUUGAACUCGCUGUGAAGAUGCAGUGUACCCGCGGCAAGACGGAAAGACCCCGUGAACCUUUACUAUAGCUUGACACUGAACAUUGAGCCUUGAUGUGUAGGAUAGGUGGGAGGCUUUGAAGUGUGGACGCCAGUCUGCAUGGAGCCGACCUUGAAAUACCACCCUUUAAUGUUUGAUGUUCUAACGUUGGCCCCUGAUCGGGGUUGCGGACAGUGUCUGGUGGGUAGUUUGACUGGGGCGGUCUCCUCCUAAAGAGUAACGGAGGAGCACGAAGGUUGGCUAAUCCUGGUCGGACAUCAGGAGGUUAGUGCAAUGGCAUAAGCCAGCUUGACUGCGAGCGUGACGGCGCGAGCAGGUGCGAAAGCAGGUCAUAGUGAUCCGGUGGUUCUGAAUGGAAGGGCCAUCGCUCAACGGAUAAAAGGUACUCCGGGGAUAACAGGCUGAUACCGCCCAAGAGUUCAUAUCGACGGCGGUGUUUGGCACCUCGAUGUCGGCUCAUCACAUCCUGGGGCUGAAGUAGGUCCCAAGGGUAUGGCUGUUCGCCAUUUAAAGUGGUACGCGAGCUGGGUUUAGAACGUCGUGAGACAGUUCGGUCCCUAUCUGCCGUGGGCGCUGGAGAACUGAGGGGGGCUGCUCCUAGUACGAGAGGACCGGAGUGGACGCAUCACUGGUGUUCGGGUUGUCAUGCCAAUGGCACUGCCCGGUAGCUAAAUGCGGAAGAGAUAAGUGCUGAAAGCAUCUAAGCACGAAACUUGCCCCGAGAUGAGUUCUCCCUGAGACUUUAAGUCUCCUGAAGGAACGUUGAAGACGACGACGUUGAUAGGCCGGGUGUGUAAGCGCAGCGAUGCGUUGAGCUAACCGGUACUAAUGAACCGUGAGG
This 2329-nucleotide ribosomal RNA is filed under the name Escherichia coli. Its description in RNAcentral is "partial 23S ribosomal RNA". It matches the Rfam family "Bacterial large subunit ribosomal RNA", at positions 609 to 2915 of the family's 2925-position model. The record is from RNAcentral. Lineage: Bacteria; Pseudomonadati; Pseudomonadota; Gammaproteobacteria; Enterobacterales; Enterobacteriaceae.